CCUACGGGAGGCAGCAGUGGGGAAUAUUGGGCAAUGGGCGCAAGCCUGACCCAGCAACGCCGCGUGAAGGAAGAAGGCUUUCGGGUUGUAAACUUCUUUUCUCAGGGACGAAGAAAGUGACGGUACCUGAGGAAUAAGCCACGGCUAACUACGGGCCAGCAGCCGCGGUAAUACGUAGGUGGCAAGCGUUAUCCGGAUGUACUGGGUGUAAAGGGCGUGUAGGCGGGGAAGAAAGUCAGAUGUGAAAACCACGGGCUCAACCUGUGACCUGCAUUUGAAACUGUUUUUCUUGAGUACUGGAGAGGCGGACGGAAUUCCUGGUGUAGCGGUGAAAUGCGUAGAGAUUAGGAGGAACACCAGUGGCGAAGGCGGUCUGCUGGACAGCAACUGACGCUGAGGCGCGAAAGCGUGGGGAGCAAACAGGAUUAGAUACCCGGGUAGUC
Molecule: ribosomal RNA, 443 nt
Filed under: uncultured bacterium
Lineage: Bacteria
Description: partial 16S ribosomal RNA
Rfam family: Bacterial small subunit ribosomal RNA
Source: RNAcentral